AUUCCAGCUCCAAUAGCGUAUAUUAAAGUUGUUGCAGUUAAAACGCUCGUAGUCGGAUUUCGGGGCGGGCCGACCGGUCUGCCGAUGGGUAUGCACUGGCCGGCGCGUCCUUCCACCCGGAGACCGCGCCUACUCUUAACUGAGCGGGCGCGGGAGACGGGUCUUUUACUUUGAAAAAAUCAGAGUGUUUCAAGCAGGCAGUCGCUCUUGCAUGGAUUAGCAUGGGAUAAUGAAAUAGGACAUUGGUUCUAUUUUGAUGGUUUACGGACCGAUGUAAUGAUUAAUAGGAACAGUUGGGGACAUUCAUAUUGCAUGGCUAGAGGUGAAAUUCUUGGAUUCAUGCAAGAUGAACUACUGCGAAAGCAUUUGUCAAAGAUGUUUUCAUUG
This 387-nucleotide ribosomal RNA is filed under the name Gephyrocapsa sp. RNAcentral describes it as "partial small subunit ribosomal RNA". It matches the Rfam family "Eukaryotic small subunit ribosomal RNA", at positions 582 to 975 of the family's 1831-position model. Lineage: Eukaryota; Haptophyta; Isochrysidales; Noelaerhabdaceae. The record is from RNAcentral.